Molecule: ribosomal RNA, 251 nt
Filed under: uncultured bacterium
Lineage: Bacteria
Description: partial 16S ribosomal RNA
Rfam family: Bacterial small subunit ribosomal RNA
Source: RNAcentral
GACGAGGGAUCCUAGCGUUGUUCGGAAUCAUUGGGCGUAAAGCGUGUGUAGGCUGCCAUUCAAGUCAGUUGUGAAAUCCCCGGGCUCAACCCGGGAAGUGCUUCUGAUACUGUUGGCUGAGUACUGGAGAGGAUAGUAGAAUUCCUGGUGUAGUGGUGAAAUACGUAGAUAUCAGGAGGAAUACCGGUGGCGAAGGCGGCUAUCUGGCCAUGUACUGACGCUGAGACACGAAAGCGUGGGGAGCAAACAGG